RNAcentral lists this ribosomal RNA (119 nucleotides) under Salmo salar (Atlantic salmon). Lineage: Eukaryota; Metazoa; Chordata; Actinopteri; Salmoniformes; Salmonidae. The record is from RNAcentral.
GCUUACGGCCAUACCAGCCUGGGUACGCCCGAUCUCGCCUGAUCUCGGAAGCUAAGCAGGGUCGGGCCUGGUUAGUACUUGGAUGGGAGACCGCCUGGGAAUACCAGGUGCUGUAAGCA